Molecule: ribosomal RNA, 402 nt
Filed under: uncultured bacterium
Lineage: Bacteria
Description: bacterial SSU rRNA
Rfam family: Bacterial small subunit ribosomal RNA
Source: RNAcentral
UCGGGAAUUUUGGGCAAUGGGCGAAAGCCUGACCCAGCAACGCCGCGUGAGGGAUGAAGUAUUUCGGUUUGUAAACCUCGAAAGAAUGGGAAGAAUAAAUGACGGUACCAUUUAUAAGCUCCGGCUAACUACGUGCCAGCAGCCGCGGUAAUACGUAGGGAGCAAGCGUUGUUCGGAUUUACUGGGCGUAAAGGGCGCGUAGGCGGCGCGGUAAGUCACUUGUGAAAUCUCUGAGCUUAACUCAGAACGGCCAAGUGAUACUGCUGUGCUAGAGUGCGGAAGAGGCAACCGGAAUUCUUGGUGGAGCGGUGAAAUGCGUAGAUAUCAAGAGGAACACCUGAGGCGAAGGCGGGUUGCUGGGCCGACACUGACGCUGAUGCGCGAAAGCCAGGGGAGCAAACG